Molecule: RNA transcript, 3662 nt
Organism: Acinonyx jubatus (cheetah)
Lineage: Eukaryota; Metazoa; Chordata; Mammalia; Carnivora; Felidae
Gene: LEKR1
Gene name: leucine, glutamate and lysine rich 1
Exons: 19
Source: RefSeq, a predicted model, not a curated record
GGCCCGGGGCGGGGCAAGGGAGGCCCCUCGAGUUGGCGAGGGGCGUGGGCCGUGACGUCACCGCGCCCUGACGUCGGGCAGACGUGUAGCACGGUCUCCCGGGAGACCGGGAAAGCCGUUCGCACUUGGAGUCGAGGUCUAGAGAGAUUUUCUGGGUUGGCAGUAUUUUCUUGAAUCAGAACCUGCCAAAUUUUCCUACUUGCUAUAUAAGAAGGACCCAAAGUUGGAAUACCUUUACAGAUAAAGAAGAUUAUUUUACUUCAGAACUCCCUCUGCAUAUUUUGAGAAAUUAUGGAUCGUCACAUCCCCAUGCACGCGUUACCUGAAGAAAUCCAAAAGAUGUCCCCUGAAGAAAAAGUUUGUAGGUACUGUGGAGUCAGCUAUCUAAUUCUUCACGAGUUUAAAGCUAUGGAAGAAAAAAUGAAAGCGAUGGAAAAAGAGAUGAAAUUUUAUCAAGGAAGUGUAGAUCGUGAAAAGAGGCUUCAAGAAAAGCUACGGUCUCUUAGUCAAGAUUUUGAACAGUACAAAAUUGACAAUGAAUCCAAAACAGAAAGAAUUUGGGAUGUAAGUAUGCAGUUAAAAAGUCAACAAAAUGAAUUGAAGAAAGUACAGAAAGAAUUGAGUCAUUUGCAACAUGAAUUAAAUAUUAAACAGAGACAAUCACAAGCAUUCAGGGAGCUAACCAGUAUUAAAAAUGAAGUAUAUGACAAUUUUCAAAACUGGACUUCACUGAAAGGAGAAGUUUUUCUACAAAUUAAAUCCAUAAGUGAAACAGCCUUGACAGAAAUAGAGAUACUAAAGAAAAGUUUGACAGUGUCCCAGAGAAAUAAGAUGUGCCUUGAAGAGGAAAUGAAAAAUCUGAAAUUGUUGUCAGAUGCAGCCAUACUGAGGUCUCAGCAGAUUCAGACAUCCCAACAACAGGAAGCAAACUUGCAAACCAGAUGCCAUGACUUGGAAAAAGAAGUACUAGGUUUACAAUGUCAAGUAGAGGCACUUGGUCUAAAACAUCAGAAGGCAGUGACAGAGAUUGACAACUAUAAAGAAAAGCUCAUGAAUAAAUCUAAUGAAGCUGAUGACUGUCAAAGAGAACUUAGAAAACUGAAGUUUGAAUCCAUUAUUUCUGAGUCACGGCAUACCAGAUUGCUUAAAGAGAAAGAGGAUUCUUUAAUGGCUUGUCAACAAAUAUAUAAAACUUUACAGGAAGAACUGACUGUGAAAGAAAGACAAGAAGAAGACAUAAAAAGAAGAAUUAACUUUGCAGAAAAUGAACUACAGAUAACCAAAACUCUUCUGCAUCAGACAAAGGAAGAGGUUGUAACGCUGAAAAGUGAAAGGGAAUUAAUGCUGAUUUCACAUCAGAAAAGCAUCGAGCAGCUGCAGGAAACCCUUAGACAGAAGCUGCUGAAUGAUGACAACUGGAGAGAGAAGAUUGAAGCUGAACUUGCCAAGGAAAGAGCCCAGCAUUUAGUUGAGUUUGAGGAGCAAGCUCUGCUUUUUAAAGCAGAAGCUAAACUGGAACUUGAUAUUGAAAAGGAAAAACAUCAAGAAAUAAUCUGUAAAUAUAAGAAAGAACAAGAGGAACUAAAAAUGAAGAUAUCUGAUUUAAUCGCAAGUGCUACUAGAGAUCUAAAGCUGGAAGUGGCCACCCUUGAAGAAAAACUCCAUGAAUCUUGUAUCCGACAUACUGAAGAUUCUGAAUCAAAGGAGAAAGAAAUUGAAAACCUUAAAAAUUUGGUUGCAGAAUUUAAAGCCCGCCUGAAGAAAGAAACUGACAGUAACGAUUCCAUUUCAGAGGACUUGAGGAAGGAAAUGAAGCUGAAGUCAGAUGAGCUAGAUAGAGUAAUGCUGGCACAAACACAACUGAUGCAGCAGUUUAACCAGUCCCAGGAACAGAACACUUUUCUUCAGGAAACAGUGCGCAGGGAGUGUGAAGAACGCUUUGAACUGACACAGGCUUUGAGCCAAGCCAGAGAACAGCUUCUGGAGCUCAGGAAGCUCAGUGGAAGUUUACCUUUGUCGCCGUGUUCCCUUAAACAGGGCAGCCUAACCUCCUCUGCUGCAGUGGUCAGCAGCCAAGGAGAGAGAAGCCUUACAAGACUGAACUCUGGAAAAGGAAUCAAAAUCCCCAGCCUGCAUGGAGUGUCAAAACCCACCACUGCCCCAACCUCAGUUCAACCCAAGAGGGUCAGCAGCUCAGGUACAUUCUUAACUCUCAAUGGCCCCCAGAUACCCAGAGUUUCUGCAACCAUCCCCACCCCUCCAGAAUUAGGACAGCUCUCGAAGGACACAGGGAAAGAUUCCUGGGAAGGCAAAUCCAACCAACCUCACCAGGUUCAAGCGCUUGCCCUGGGGCCAGGGAAAGGAAGGCACCUUGACUAAACAGCUUCCCAUGUGUGGGAGAGGUAAUUACCAGAGGUAAAUCAGGGCACAGCCAGCCCAAACCAAAAACUAUCUACCAUACCAUGUCACCUGGUGGGAAGGAACACCAAUACCUAACCUUGAACCCAAAUACAUUUCCCACCUCUGCCUUCCUACUCCACUCCACCCCACCAUACCGAAGUAGGAAUCUGUGGGAAUGACAAGAGACCCAGGGACUAUUAGACUUUGAUUAAGGGUCAAACGGGAAGUUGUAAGUAUGAGCCAUAAUGCAUGGUGCUUGAAGGCAGGAUGGAUAAAUAAUUAAAACAAAUUAUCCUGUUCUACCUUGAGAGGCUACCAGAGUAUUAGCCUAUUCCCCUCCCCACUUCUUUUUUGUUUGUUAAUCAGUCUUUGCCUGAUUAAAGGCAACCAGGAAACAAGCGGACUGGAAGCAGUCUCAACAGAGGGCCAGAACCAGGCCCUGCACACUGCCUUCGGCUAGGCUAGAGAUCCCUUCUGCCUGGUAAGCCCUAUGCAGAAGAGAGAAGCCAAAAGAGAUUGUCACCUAGUUUUGUUUGAGGGGGAUGCCAAACAUGGAUUAGGACAUGGUGUCAUGUUAGGAGGCUGGCUAUCCCCAAGAGGACACCCCUUAGGGCAAUAUCUCCCAGUCUUGUUAUUCCUGCUAGCUAACAGUGGAUAAAAAUGAGGCCAUUGGCCCUGAAGUUACCUCUGGUAUUUGGGAACAGGAAGAAGAGACCAGAUUCCUUCCGCAGAUACCUCCAUCAUCAAGCCAGGCAGUGACAGCAUGACAAAGGGGACAGUGUUUUAUUUGCUUUGUGUGUUUGGGGUAACUAAGUGCUGGCCCCAUGAGGCCUGACCAGUGGGACUUUGCUAACUGUGAGGAGGCAGCCUGGAUAUAUCACAGCAAGAAGACGGUUUCCACAGGGCACGAAGCUGGAGGAUGUUAUCUCUGUCACUGUUCACGAGGCAGCGGUGAGAUAGGCACCAUUACUUCCAUGGGUGCUCACAAGGACACUGAGGCUGGGAGAACCCAGUGACUAACUCAAACCCCAUGACCAUGUGCUGGCAGCCUAAAACCCAGCCAGGGCUUUCCAACUCUGACUGUGCUUUGCAUUCAGUAAGCCCUGAUUUUUAGUUUCCCCCACCAGUACGACUAUACCAAUCCCCGCCUGCCAGCUCUCUCCACAGCCAGCCCACAGGGGUCAUCUCCUUGGCAGCUGAGGCAGACAGAAGGGGCCAGACACUCAGCCAGGGCCUGGAGCCCACUGGCCCCGGGGCCCCAC